UGGGGAAUAUUGGACAAUGGGGGCAACCCUGAUCCAGCAAUGCCGCGUGUGUGAAGAAGGUCUUCGGAUUGUAAAGCACUUUCGACGGGGACGAUGAUGACGGUACCCGUAGAAGAAGCCCCGGCUAACUUCGUGCCAGCAGCCGCGGUAAUACGAAGGGGGCUAGCGUUGCUCGGAAUGACUGGGCGUAAAGGGCGUGUAGGCGGUUUACACAGUCAGAUGUGAAAUCCCCGGGCUUAACCUGGGAGCUGCAUUUGAUACGUGUAGACUAGAGUGUGAGAGAGGGUUGUGGAAUUCCCAGUGUAGAGGUGAAAUUCGUAGAUAUUGGGAAGAACACCGGUGGCGAAGGCGGCAACCUGGCUCAUGACUGACGCUGAGGCGCGAAAGCGUGGGGAGCAAACAGGAUUAGAUACCCUGGUAGUCCACGC
This 428-nucleotide ribosomal RNA is filed under the name uncultured bacterium. RNAcentral's name for it is "partial 16S ribosomal RNA". It matches the Rfam family "Bacterial small subunit ribosomal RNA", at positions 355 to 800 of the family's 1533-position model. The record is from RNAcentral.